RNAcentral lists this ribosomal RNA (376 nucleotides) under uncultured bacterium. RNAcentral describes it as "bacterial SSU rRNA". It matches the Rfam family "Bacterial small subunit ribosomal RNA", at positions 29 to 405 of the family's 1533-position model. The record is from RNAcentral.
AUUGAACGCUGGCGGCAUGCCUUACACAUGCAAGUCGAACGGCAGCACGGGAGCAAUCCUGGUGGCGAGUGGCGAACGGGUGAGUAAUAUAUCGGAACGUGCCCAGUAGUGGGGGAUAGCCCGGCGAAAGCCGGAUUAAUACCGCAUGAGACCUGAGGGUGAAAGCGGGGGAGUCGCAAGACCUCGCGCUAUUGGAGCGGCCGAUAUCAGAUUAGCUAGUUGGUGGGGUAAAGGCCUACCAAGGCAACGAUCUGUAGUUGGUCUGAGAGGACGACCAGCCACACUGGGACUGAGACACGGCCCAGACUCCUACGGGAGGCAGCAGUGGGGAAUUUUGGACAAUGGGCGCAAGCCUGAUCCAGCAAUGCCGCGUGCA